Molecule: long non-coding RNA, 2575 nt
Organism: Brassica napus (rape)
Lineage: Eukaryota; Viridiplantae; Streptophyta; Magnoliopsida; Brassicales; Brassicaceae
Exons: 4
Source: RefSeq, a predicted model, not a curated record
GCAUUAUUUGUUAUUCUGUAUGUAAUCAUCAAAUAUUCUAUUUCAAGUAUAUUUGUAUUUUGGUAUAUAUUUUAUGUACUUUUGAAAAAUUCUACAAACAUGUAUCAUUUUAUAAUGAUAUCAAAGUUAUUGUUUUAUCCUUUCAACCUUUGUUUGCAUGUACCUCUAAUAUCAUGUACCACUGUUCAUACAAUAUUUAAAAUAAUAUUCACUCUAAUUGAAGAUUAGGGAUCGUGGAGUUUUGAGAAUUAACUAUAAUGAAGAUAAAUAAUUGGUAUUACUGCAGGUCAAAACAACUGUAUUUUAAAUUAUUUGAUAUCAAAACUCUAAUUUUAUAACUUUAACAAAUAAAUUAGUAUUUCAAUUAAUAUUUUAUAAAUAUGGACAGUGUCAUAUGAGGUAAUUGCAUUCAAACAAAGUUGUUGGAAAUAGUAAAACAAUUUUUCUGAUAUUAUUUUAAAUAGAUAUAUAUGGAUAUUCGUAAGCAUUUUAUGUUUUAAAACUUAAGAUAUGUACCAACACAUAAUAUUAUAGCUAAUUAAUAUAUUUUAUUCAUUCAGUUUUCUUUGUAUUUGAUUUGUAACAAAUCUUCCAUAAAAUAUAAAUUUGUAUCAUAAUACAAAAACAAUGAAAUUAUGAUAGAUUAUGACAAAAUAGUAUGCUUGCCAAAUUAGAUAUUUAAAACUUUGUCAAGCAUAAAAUGUUUUGUUCUUCAUGAAAACCCUUGUUUCUGUAGUUUCAUACUGGUUAUGUGUGGUUUAAUGAAUGAUUGGUAGGUGCAUAGCGAUAAAUUACUUCAUGAAACAAACUGUUGUUAAUGCUUGCGGAACCAUUGGUCUUCUUCAUGCUAUUGGCAACAUUACCUUUGAAAUCAAGUUUUUUAAGUCUGUUAACAUCUCUCUCUAUGUGCUUCACCUUGAGAUCAAAGUAUGCAAAAUCCUUGAGGGUAAUUAUUUUCUCCUUGCUUAGCUGAAGGAUAAGUUCUUGGAUAAGUUCUUCAAACAACUGCCAAUAUGAUUCCUAUGGAGUGUGGAAGGUUUCUUGAGAAACGACAGUGAGAUAGAUGAUGCUUAUUAUGUAGCUGCUACAGCUGGUGAAACACCGGCUUCACACUGAACACACUUCAAAGCCAAUAUGACUCCUAUGGAGGUGUCUCGUGGAAGGUUUCUUGAGAUAUCUAGUCAAAUAGAAGAUGGUACUCUUCUUCAGGCAUCAGACUACGUGAACAUCCAUUUCAUCUGUGUAACUGAUGUGGAUGUAGAUGGUAACAAAUUCUCAUAUCAACAAGAAUAGGAAUACUUAAAUUAUCAAACUCCAUUUUUCGUUGCUUUUUGAGAUGAGUGAUUGAUCUUGGAUGAGGUCUUCAAAAGCAUUGCAAAGGUGUCUCUAGGAGUGGGCAAAAAUUCCGAACCGAACCAAACCAAACCGACCCAACCAAACCCAAACCAAUCCAAACCAAACUGAAGUAUAUGUCUAACCCAUUUGGUUCAAGAUUUUAUCAACCCAAAUGGUUUGAUUUGGUUUGGUUUUAAACCAAACCAAACCAAAAAACUGAAGUAUUUUUUUAAUUAGAUUAAUUAAUAUACUAAUAAUAUUAAGAUUUAAUAUAUUUAACUAUUUAGCCUAAACAACUAAACAUAAUUUUAUACAUUUUACUUUUAAAUGAAUAGAAUAAGUACAACUAAAAACAAACUAAAAGAAUAUGAAUCUCAUACAUUAACAUCAAAACGGAAAAGUUAUUUUAUGAUAUUUAUAUUAGAUUUAAAGAUAAUAAUAUAAAAUUAUUGAAUUAUAUUUUCUACAUAUUUAUUGUGAUAUUUGGUUUUACGUUUAAAUGUGAGAAAUAAUAAUUUAGUAUCAAAUGAUGAUUUGUUUAUGUUUUUAUAAAUCAUAUUUUUGUAAUUGAACUAGAAUUAAACAAAAAAUUAACUCGGUUGAACUGAAAAAUACAGACAAAACCACAUUAAACCGAACCGAACCAAACACAAACCAAACUGAACUAAAAUCGAACCGAACACAAACCGAACUGAAGUAAAACCGAACUAAACCGAACAUAAACGAAACCAUACUAAUUUGGGCUGACUUUGGUUCAAGAUUUCUUAGACCCAAAUAAUCCAAACCGGACUCAAACCGAAAUGCACACCCCUAGGUGUCUCUAAUAUCUUUUAUUUUUAGAUUUGAUAUUUCUGAAAUCUAAUUGUUUUUGUUUUGGUUAGGGGCUUCUUGAAAUAAAAAUUCAUAAAGAAGAUGCUCAUUCAGCCGGUGCAACACUGACAAAUUCAGACGACUUGGGCAAUCAUUUCAUCUGUUUCGUUUGUGUUGAUGGUCAAGAUGGAAGGAAAGCAGGGCCAAUUUCACAUGGUGCUUCCUCUCUAGCUACCCUGUUGAAGUGAUCAAGAAGAUUAUUGAGAAGAAUCCUGACACGCUCAACUUCAACGUGAUAGCUAUCUCUAAGAGAACCUGAGCUGCUCUUAAGAAGCAUAAGUUUAUAAACUCUUGUUUCUCUUUAUCCGGUUCUUGAUAAUCUACUUGUUUCUUGUUCUGUUCUCUUGAGAUCAUAUCUUUUGAGAGGAAU